GCCUGUUUAUCAAAAACAUCGCUCCCUGAAUUAUUAAAGGUAGGGAGUCGGACCUGCCCAGUGAAAUAUUUAAACGGCCGCGGUACUCUGACCGUGCAAAGGUAGCAUAAUCAUUUGCCUUAUAACUGAAGGCUAGUAUGAAUGGUUUGACAAGAAUAAAGCUGUCUCUUCAAGAUUUAUUAGAAUUUAAUUUUUAGGUGAAGAGGCCUAAAUUAUAUUAAAAGACAAGAAGACCCUAUCGAGCUUUAAAAAAAUUAAUAGAUUUAAAUUUAAUAUUAACUAAAAAACUAACUAUUAAAAAUUUUGGUUGGGGCGACUAAGGAACAAAAAAAGCUUCCUUUAUUAUUAAAAAAUUAUAGCUGACAAGCGUUGAUCCAAAAUCUUUGAUCAAAGAAAUUAGUUACCGUAGGGAUAACAGCAUUAUCCUUUUUGAGAGUUCUUAUCGAAAAAAAGGCUUGUGACCUCGAUGUUGGACCAGAAUAUCCUAAAGAUGCAGAAGUCUUUAAGGGUUGGUCUGUUCGACCAUUAAAAUUCUACGUGAUCUGAGUUCA
This 551-nucleotide ribosomal RNA is filed under the name Volutomitra glabella. RNAcentral's name for it is "partial 16S ribosomal RNA". It matches the Rfam family "Bacterial large subunit ribosomal RNA", at positions 1798 to 2613 of the family's 2925-position model. The record is from RNAcentral. Lineage: Eukaryota; Metazoa; Mollusca; Gastropoda; Neogastropoda; Volutomitridae.